AUGCAGGCAACAUGGUAUCAACCGCUGGCCUUCUCGAAAAAUCAAGAAAGUUAAUCACUCGUUGAGGAAACUCCAACUUGUAGUUAACUCCAUCCAUGGUGCAGAGGGUCUCAUUCAGAUCGAUUCCUUCUACAAAAGCUUCCCAGAAUUGAACUCACCAAAUUUUUCAGGGAAAGGUCCUUUUUCAUUACCCAAUAUUAGUGAAAAUUCCAACAAAGUAAACCCCCAACCUGAGAGUGGCCUGCUCAGCCCCAAAGACUCAGAUUCAAAUUCUCAGUCCUCUUCGUGCAGUCAGAAUUCUGGUUCAACCAUCUACUGUUCCAAUGAAGAAAAGAACCUUGCCACCACCAACGGCUUGAACACUGGAUCUUCUUUAGCAAUAGAAGACCCUGUCCUGGCACUGAAAACUUAUAGCAAAGCAGAACUGCAUUCCUUGAAUCAGGAAGAACCAAAGAUCCCUACAAGCUCGCAAAGCCCUAAAACAUUACAUGGGAAUCAACGUUCCCACACUUUACCACACUUACCAAAAAGUACUGACCAUGGUUUACGAGAUGGGGUGAUCUUCAGAGUCAAAGCCACUUUUGGAGAAGAAAAUGUAAGAUUCAGCUUCCUGCCGAAUUGGGGUUUCAGGGACUUGCAGCAAGAGAUUGCUAAGCGUUUCAGAAUAGACAAUUUCAGCAGAAUUGAUCUCAAGUAUUUGGACAUUGAUCAUGAGCCCGUUCUGUUGACCUGUGAUGCUGAUCUUGAGGAGUGU
This 754-nucleotide unclassified non-coding RNA is filed under the name Hevea brasiliensis (rubber tree). Lineage: Eukaryota; Viridiplantae; Streptophyta; Magnoliopsida; Malpighiales; Euphorbiaceae. The record is from RNAcentral.